AGGGGGAGCGCCGGAUCUUGGGCUGUGUCCCCAGUGUCCUGUGCUUCCGGGCCUUCGCUGCGGGAAUUGCACUCCUGGCAGCGCAGCCCCCU
Molecule: microRNA precursor, 92 nt
Filed under: Canis lupus familiaris (dog)
Lineage: Eukaryota; Metazoa; Chordata; Mammalia; Carnivora; Canidae
Also listed under: 1 other name
Description: mir-8799 microRNA precursor family
Rfam family: mir-8799 microRNA precursor family
Source: Rfam by way of RNAcentral